This 253-nucleotide ribosomal RNA is filed under the name uncultured bacterium. RNAcentral's name for it is "partial 16S ribosomal RNA". It matches the Rfam family "Bacterial small subunit ribosomal RNA", at positions 524 to 776 of the family's 1533-position model. The record is from RNAcentral.
UACGAGGGGGGCGAGCGUUGUUCGGAAUUACUGGGCGUAAAGGGCGCGUAGGCGGCGUGUCAAGUCAGGCGUGAAAGCCCCGGGCUCAACCUGGGAACCGCGCUUGAGACUGGCAUGCUCGAGUUCGGGAGAGGAUGGUGGAAUUCCCAGUGUAGAGGUGAAAUUCGUAGAUAUUGGGAAGAACACCGAUGGCGAAGGCAGCCAUCUGGACCGACACUGACGCUGAGGCGCGAAAGCGUGGGGAGCAAACAGG